GACGAACGCUGGCGGCGCGCUUAACACAUGCAAGUCGAACGGAAAGGCCUGCUUUCCCUUGUGGAUUGCGGGUACUCGAGUGGCGAACGGGUGAGUAACACGUGAGUGAUCUGCCCCCAACUUGGGUAUAAGCCUGGGAAACUGGGUCUAAUUCCCGAUAGGACUGCAGGGUGGUGCCUGUGGUGGAAAACGAUUUUCUAGUGGUUGGGGAUGAGCUCGCGGCCUAUCGGCUUGUUGGUGGGGUAAUGGCCUACCAAGGCGGCGACGGGUAGCCGGCCUGAGAGGGUGGACGGCGACAUUGGGACUGAGAUACGGCCCAGACGCCUACGGGAGGCAGCAGUGGGGAAUAUUGCACAAUGGGCGGAAGCCUGAUGCAGCGACGCCGCGUGGGGGAUGACGGCCUUCGGGUUGUAAACUCCUUUCGACCGCGAGGAAGCCACCUGGUUGGAAGGGUGGUGACGGUAGUGGUAGAAGAAGCACCGGCUAACUACGUG
Molecule: ribosomal RNA, 494 nt
Filed under: uncultured bacterium
Lineage: Bacteria
Description: partial 16S ribosomal RNA
Rfam family: Bacterial small subunit ribosomal RNA
Source: RNAcentral